GGGGAACCUGCCUGUAAGACUGGGAUAACUCCGGGAAACCGGGGCUAAUACCGGAUGGUUGUUUGAACCGCAUGGUUCAAACAUAAAAGGUGGCUUCGGCUACCACUUACAGAUGGACCCGCGGCGCAUUAGCUAGUUGGUGAGGUAACGGCUCACCAAGGCAACGAUGCGUAGCCGACCUGAGAGGGUGAUCGGCCACACUGGGACUGAGACACGGCCCAGACUCCUACGGGAGGCAGCAGUAGGGAAUCUUCCGCAAUGGACGAAAGUCUGACGGAGCAACGCCGCGUGAGUGAUGAAGGUUUUCGGAUCGUAAAGCUCUGUUGUUAGGGAAGAACAAGUACCGUUCGAAUAGGGCGGUACCUUGACGGUACCUAACCAGAAAGCCACGGCUAACUACGUGCCAGCAGCCGCGGUAAUACGUAGGUGGCAAGCGUUGUCCGGAAUUAUUGGGCGUAAAGGGCUCGCAGGCGGUUUCUUAAGUCUGAUGUGAAAGCCCCCGGCUCAACCGGGGAGGGUCAUUGGAAACUGGGGAACUUGAGUGCAGAAGAGGAGAGUGGAAUUCCACGUGUAGCGGUGAAAUGCGUAGAGAUGUGGAGGAACACCAGUGGCGAAGGCGACUCUCUGGUCUGUAACUGACGCUGAGGAGCGAAAGCGUGGGGAGCGAACAGGAUUAGAUACCCUGGUAGUCCACGCCGUAAACGAUGAGUGCUAAGUGUUAGGGGGUUUCCGCCCCUUAGUGCUGCAGCUAACGCAUUAAGCACUCCGCCUGGGGAGUACGGUCGCAAGACUGAAACUCAAAGGAAUUGACGGGGGCCCGCACAAGCGGUGGAGCAUGUGGUUUAAUUCGAAGCAACGCGAAGAACCUUACCAGGUCUUGACAUCCUCUGACAAUCCUAGAGAUAGGACGUCCCCUUCGGGGGCAGAGUGACAGGUGGUGCAUGGUUGUCGUCAGCUCGUGUCGUGAGAUGUUGGGUUAAGUCCCGCAACGAGCGCAACCCUUGAUCUUAGUUGCCAGCAUUCAGUUGGGCACUCUAAGGUGACUGCCGGUGACAAACCGGAGGAAGGUGGGGAUGACGUCAAAUCAUCAUGCCCCUUAUGACCUGGGCUACACACGUGCUACAAUGGACAGAACAAAGGGCAGCGAAACCGCGAGGUUAAGCCAAUCCCACAAAUCUGUUCUCAGUUCGGAUCGCAGUCUGCAACUCGACUGCGUGAAGCAGGAAUCGGUAGUAAU
RNAcentral lists this ribosomal RNA (1237 nucleotides) under Bacillus sp. (in: firmicutes). RNAcentral describes it as "bacterial SSU rRNA". It matches the Rfam family "Bacterial small subunit ribosomal RNA", at positions 119 to 1342 of the family's 1533-position model. The record is from RNAcentral. Lineage: Bacteria; Bacillati; Bacillota; Bacilli; Caryophanales; Bacillaceae.